Molecule: ribosomal RNA, 1947 nt
Filed under: Escherichia coli
Lineage: Bacteria; Pseudomonadati; Pseudomonadota; Gammaproteobacteria; Enterobacterales; Enterobacteriaceae
Description: bacterial LSU rRNA
Rfam family: Bacterial large subunit ribosomal RNA
Source: RNAcentral
UCAUCUCCGGGGGUAGAGCACUGUUUCGGCAAGGGGGUCAUCCCGACUUACCAACCCGAUGCAAACUGCGAAUACCGGAGAAUGUUAUCACGGGAGACACACGGCGGGUGCUAACGUCCGUCGUGAAGAGGGAAACAACCCAGACCGCCAGCUAAGGUCCCAAAGUCAUGGUUAAGUGGGAAACGAUGUGGGAAGGCCCAGACAGCCAGGAUGUUGGCUUAGAAGCAGCCAUCAUUUAAAGAAAGCGUAAUAGCUCACUGGUCGAGUCGGCCUGCGCGGAAGAUGUAACGGGGCUAAACCAUGCACCGAAGCUGCGGCAGCGACGCUUAUGCGUUGUUGGGUAGGGGAGCGUUCUGUAAGCCUGUGAAGGUGUGCUGUGAGGCAUGCUGGAGGUAUCAGAAGUGCGAAUGCUGACAUAAGUAACGAUAAAGCGGGUGAAAAGCCCGCUCGCCGGAAGACCAAGGGUUCCUGUCCAACGUUAAUCGGGGCAGGGUGAGUCGACCCCUAAGGCGAGGCCGAAAGGCGUAGUCGAUGGGAAACAGGUUAAUAUUCCUGUACUUGGUGUUACUGCGAAGGGGGGACGGAGAAGGCUAUGUUGGCCGGGCGACGGUUGUCCCGGUUUAAGCGUGUAGGCUGGUUUUCCAGGCAAAUCCGGAAAAUCAAGGCUGAGGCGUGAUGACGAGGCACUACGGUGCUGAAGCAACAAAUGCCCUGCUUCCAGGAAAAGCCUCUAAGCAUCAGGUAACAUCAAAUCGUACCCCAAACCGACACAGGUGGUCAGGUAGAGAAUACCAAGGCGCUUGAGAGAACUCGGGUGAAGGAACUAGGCAAAAUGGUGCCGUAACUUCGGGAGAAGGCACGCUGAUAUGUAGGUGAAGUCCCUCGCGGAUGGAGCUGAAAUCAGUCGAAGAUACCAGCUGGCUGCAACUGUUUAUUAAAAACACAGCACUGUGCAAACACGAAAGUGGACGUAUACGGUGUGACGCCUGCCCGGUGCCGGAAGGUUAAUUGAUGGGGUCAGCGCAAGCGAAGCUCUUGAUCGAAGCCCCGGUAAACGGCGGCCGUAACUAUAACGGUCCUAAGGUAGCGAAAUUCCUUGUCGGGUAAGUUCCGACCUGCACGAAUGGCGUAAUGAUGGCCAGGCUGUCUCCACCCGAGACUCAGUGAAAUUGAACUCGCUGUGAAGAUGCAGUGUACCCGCGGCAAGACGGAAAGACCCCGUGAACCUUUACUAUAGCUUGACACUGAACAUUGAGCCUUGAUGUGUAGGAUAGGUGGGAGGCUUAGAAGUGUGGACGCCAGUCUGCAUGGAGCCGACCUUGAAAUACCACCCUUUAAUGUUUGAUGUUCUAACGUUGACCCGUAAUCCGGGUUGCNGACAGUGUCUGGUGGGUAGUUUGACUGGGGCGGUCUCCUCCUAAAGAGUAACGGAGGAGCACGAAGGUUGGCUAAUCCUGGUCGGACAUCAGGAGGUUAGUGCAAUGGCAUAAGCCAGCUUGACUGCGAGCGUGACGGCGCGAGCAGGUGCGAAAGCAGGUCAUAGUGAUCCGGUGGUUCUGAAUGGAAGGGCCAUCGCUCAACGGAUAAAAGGUACUCCGGGGAUAACAGGCUGAUACCGCCCAAGAGUUCAUAUCGACGGCGGUGUUUGGCACCUCGAUGUCGGCUCAUCACAUCCUGGGGCUGAAGUAGGUCCCAAGGGUAUGGCUGUUCGCCAUUUAAAGUGGUACGCGAGCUGGGUUUAGAACGUCGUGAGACAGUUCGGUCCCUAUCUGCCGUGGGCGCUGGAGAACUGAGGGGGGCUGCUCCUAGUACGAGAGGACCGGAGUGGACGCAUCACUGGUGUUCGGGUUGUCAUGCCAAUGGCACUGCCCGGUAGCUAAAUGCGGAAGAGAUAAGUGCUGAAAGCAUCUAAGCACGAAACUUGCCCCGAGAUGAGUUCUCCCUGAC